This is a non-coding RNA of Misgurnus anguillicaudatus (oriental weatherfish), 2175 nucleotides long. Lineage: Eukaryota; Metazoa; Chordata; Actinopteri; Cypriniformes; Cobitidae. The record is from RefSeq and is a predicted model, not a curated record.
UAGUUAAGGUAAUAACAUAUUUUAAUAUUGAAAAUGAGUAGACUAUUCCUUUAAUCAUCAACGAACACCACAAACCACUCUGUGACUAGCAGAGUUUUGAAAAUGAAGGUUAAGUGUUGUUUUAAUGACAUGUUUGUGCAUGGCCCUUGACUUGCAUUCUGAAGCAGUCAAGAGACGCUUUUAAACAAGUCAAAAAGUCAAGACACAACCCAUUGUCAAAAUUUCAGUGACCAUCACUGUAGUUCAUCCGAAACAAACCAGAAAUGAGACUCAAAGUGUUUAAUACCGGAAUUAUUCUUUAAGACUUUUUUCUUUAACAAAGCAUUUACAUAAUUUGUCUAGUAAAUUAUACUCAUCUCGCAAAAGUUAGCUUGUACUGAACAAAGCAUUCACAUAACUCGUCUGGGUAAUUUACUAAUGCCGCAAUAGCUAGCCUGUCUGGAACCGAGCAUAUAUUAAAACACAACACUGUCUGACACUUGCAUUGCAUGUGAAUGGCCCCUACGCUAAUAGGAUUUUGUUUCUCUCUCCCUGUCUCGUCCUCAAACCGAGGACAUUGAGACAAACAGACCAGUUCCGGCUGCCGUGGAGGUCAACACACCAAUGAUCUACUGGCUGCCCUUCAACAUGAUGCCCAGCCGAUGCCUGACCACCGACGAUGCAGUGAGGGAGUGAUUCCCCAACAUCGAGGUGGCAGAGAUCUGGGACCUUCUACGGAGGAAGUGCAACAAUGACAGUUACAAGGCCUCCAGUAGUUCAAAUUAGAGCCCGACCGAUUUAUCGUUUUGCCGAUUUUAUCGGCCGAUAUGAGCAUGUCGCAGAUAUAUCUGUAUCGGCGUAUAAGCCGCAGAUAUGCGCCGAUAUGAACGUUUGUUACAGAACACAUUAAAUGCAUUUGAAAGAUGUAAGUACUUGUUUGUCCAGCAGAGUGCGCCAUACUGGUUGCUAAUGGCGACCCAGAUCACUCACUGUAGUGACACCAGCCAAUCCCCCACCCCCUUCACUUCAGUCAGUCAGUCUCUCAGUUCAGGUGGCUGCAGUCACGCAGUGUCUUCUUCACAACAUUUUUACACCUGGUAUUAAGACGCGCUUUGGUCGAUUGGAUUAUAAAUGGACAAGAGAGACGCAUUCCCGCUUACAUUUGGUGUUUUUAAUCCGUCUCUUUGUCGACUUGCGAGUUAAAACGCAAGCGGGAGAAAUGACGCGAGACGGAGAAAUGACACGUUUAAACUACGCGCAGCCGUGCACUUAUAUAACACUAUAUGAGAUUACUGCUGCUUGUGUUGUUAGGUAACAUGCUCAUUUCAGAGCAAUUGAUUCAAUAAGCUCGCGCAACUCUACACCCUUGCAAAAUAAGAGGCGGAGCGAAGACGCUUUAUUUUUAUAAAAGUCUAAAGUUUGCACGGAACCCUGGGUUUGUGUUAUAAAAACGUUGUGCACAACAUUAAACAUAGCGUACAUUAGUAUGUGCUCCGUCAAGCAUUGUCUUCGUAACUGUGAGUGGCUAACUAAUUUGUGAAGUACACAACUGACUGUAAAGCUAAUAUUAAUCAAUUACUUCAUAAGUUUCUCUUUAUAACGUUAUUCUCGUCAAAACUGCAAAUGAUGCAAGUUUUAUGUAUUUUGUUCUCUUUGUGUUUUAAAGUUAUUUAUAAUAAGUCAAGUUUACUGUUUAGUUCACUGAUAUCCAACUAAUUUUGGAUAAUAAAGUUUAUUGUUAACUUCUUGCCUAUAGUACAUAUCUUUGUCACAUCAAUAUAAGUGUUGGAUCACCACAUUUGUGAGUGAUCACCACAUUUGUGAGUGAUCAUUGCAUUGCAUUGUAUUUAUUCAUAGUAUAUUAUGUUAAAGUAUAUAGUGUGUUCUAUGUACAGUACUUUAGUAUAAUAUACUGUAGUAUAUACUGAACUAUAAUGUACACAUAAAGAAUAUCGGCCGAUAUAUCGUUAUCGGUCUUUUUUUACUCCCUAAUAUCUGUAUCGGCAUCGGCCCGAAAAAACGCAUAUCGGUCGGGCUCUAGUUCAAAUCAGAGCUAGAUGUGCAUAUAGUACAAGUUGUUCGCAAUUGUUCUCUUCCCGGCAUUUCAAAGAAAGUCGACUGUUUAAGGUUCCCCAUUUUGCCAAUAUCUGUUUGUGUGUUACUUUUGUGUCAAUAAUAAAGAUCCUUUUUUUGAAA